Molecule: RNA transcript, 2877 nt
Organism: Vitis riparia (riverbank grape)
Lineage: Eukaryota; Viridiplantae; Streptophyta; Magnoliopsida; Vitales; Vitaceae
Gene name: AP2-like ethylene-responsive transcription factor At2g41710
Exons: 10
Source: RefSeq, a predicted model, not a curated record
GAAUCCAUGGGCCAUGGCCCAUGUGUCAUGAUCAUAAGUUUGAAAUAUGGUAAAAAGGAAGGUAUGUUUGAACACUGACAGUAAUUAUUAUUAUCAUGCCAUAAUGUAAUGACCUGAGGCCAAACGACGUAGUUUUUGAAGUCGAAGCCAUUGAAAUGGCGUCCUUUCUUCGGGCAAUCUAAAAUCUCUAGGACAUGUGUCGUGCGCCAACUGCCCCACGUGGUCUGGGACAUUUGAAAAUAGCUGAACCAAAUUACAUUGUUAUCCCUCCAACUUAACCUAGCCGUUGGAGCUUUUUUCGCUCCCUUUUCAACCCAAAUUCUGGCAUUGUCAUUUGGGGAAUGACCGGGGGUAUUUUAGUCAUAUUUGGUUCACAGGCUACUCUUCUUGCUCUCACUGUAGUUUUGCUCUGCGCUGAGUUAAAAAAAUAACGCAUAAAACCAAAACGAAACGGCUAAAUCUCUUUCUAUCUCUCUCUCGUCUUCUCUCUGUUUCUCUUCAUUCUGUUUGUUCUGAUUUUCUCUCUCUUAGGGUUAGGGUUUCUGGUUUGGUUUCAGCCAUGGCUUCGUCUUCGUCUGAACCUGGUUUGAAACCUGAGAGUGGCGGUGGUAGUGGUAGUGGUGGAGGAGAAACUUCCGAGGCAGCAGUGGCGAGUGAUCAACUCUUGCUGUACAGAGGAUUGAAAAAAGCUAAAAAAGAGCGAGGGAGUACUGCCAAAGAGAGGAUCAGCAAAAUGCCUCCUUGUGCCGCCGGGAAACGCAGCUCUAUUUAUAGAGGAGUUACCAGGCAUAGAUGGACUGGUCGUUAUGAAGCCCAUCUUUGGGAUAAAAGUACCUGGAACCAAAAUCAAAAUAAGAAGGGAAAGCAAGUUUACUUGGGUGCAUAUGAUGACGAGGAGGCUGCAGCUAGAGCGUAUGAUCUUGCUGCUUUAAAAUACUGGGGCCCAGGGACGCUCAUUAAUUUUCCGGUUACAGAUUAUGCUAGAGAUCUUGAAGAGAUGCAAAAUGUCUCAAGAGAAGAAUACCUUGCAUCUCUCCGAAGAAAGAGCAGUGGUUUCUCAAGAGGAAUAUCUAAAUAUCGUGGGCUUGCCAGUAAUCGGUGGGAUCAACCAUUUGGACGUAUAGCCGGACAAGAAUACUUCAAUAACACGCACUAUGGUAUGGGUGAUGAUGCAGCAGCGGAAAGUGAAUUUUUUGGUGGUUUUUGCAUGGAAAGAAAAAUUGAUCUAACAGGUUAUAUUAAGUGGUGGGGGCCCAACAAAACUCGCCAAUCAGAUUCCCACGCAAAAUCAUCAGAGGAAACAAAGCAAGGCAGUGGGGAAGAUAUUGGCAGUGAACUUAAAACAUUGGAAUGGGCAAUCCAGCCUACUGAGCCAUAUCAGAUGCCCCGUUUGGGCCUUCCCCAUGAAGGGAAAAAGCAAAAAAGUUCCACUGUAUCGGCCUUGAGCAUUUUGUCACGGUCUGCUGCCUACAAGAGUUUGGAAGAGAAAGCAUCCAAAAAGCAAGAAAAUAACACUAAUAAUGACGAGAAUGAGAAUAAAAAUAAAAUCAACAAGAUGGAUCAUGGAAAAGCAGUUGAGAAAUCAACAAGCCAUGAUAGUGGAAGUGAGAGACUUGGAGUAGCAUUAGGACUGGGUGGGGAAUUCUCUAUUCAAAGAAGUGUGUAUCCAUUGACUCCUUUGUUAUCCGCACCACUUCUUACCAACUACAGUAGUGUUGAUCCCUUGGCGGACCCUAUUUUAUGGACAUCUCUUGUUCCUGCUCUGCCGACUGGACUUCCACGUACUGCUGAGGUUACAAAGACUGAGACCAGUUCAACUUAUACCUUCUUUCAUCAGGAGGAACAAUGACAGUUCCACAAUCUUCUACAAUUUGGUGGAAAAGCAGACGUUUGCUUGAGUUCCAUUUAGUGUUCUAGCGAUGCAGUAGUUUGAAAAGAAGGUGGAAAGAAGACAAGAUUAAACAGUAAAAUGCAAGUAUAAAGUCAAGUGCUGAAUUUGGACAGGUAUUAUCAGAAUGACUGAUAGCUAGAGGACACCAUCGGCCAAUGUCAAGACUAGAUGUAAUAGAGGGUGGAUUUGAAAUUGCGAGUGGAGGCGUGCGUUACAUUGUAGACAUAACUAGGCAUCUCAUUUGGACAAUCUGGUAAUGGGGCUUUAAACUUGAGAACCUCAAUAGCUUGUCUUGCUGAAGGCUUUUCCAUGUUAAUUGGGUGAGCACACUACAGUCCAACAAUCAACAAACCUUCCAUUUCGUGAGCAUUGAAAUCCAUAUUCAAUCUCUCAUCAGCUGCAUCUAGAGUCUUUCCAGCUCCAUGGAGCUCCCAAACCCAGGGCACUAGCCCUAGAUGACUCUCCUCAUCUUUAUGUUUCCUUCUCCCACUAGCAAUUUCCAAAGCCACAAUUCCAAAGCUAUAUAUGUCAGAUUUUGUACUUGCCCUGCCUUCAUGGUAAUAUUCAGGUGCUAUGUAGCCAAAUGCUCCCACUACCUUAAUUGUUUGAGAGCUGAAUCGAGGGUUUAGAAACUGAGCUGCCCCAAAAUCACCAAGUUUAGCAUUGAAAUUCAAGUCCAAAAUCACCAAGAUCAAUGUUCCCACUGCCUUAAUUGUUUGAGAGCUAAUCUAGAAACUGAGCUGAUCCAAAAUCACCAAGUUUAGCAUUGAAAUUCAAGUCCAACAUUACAUUAGCUGACUUGACAUCCCGGUGGGGUAUGCAUUGCCCAGAUUCUUCAUGAAGAUAAAGCAAUGCAGAAGCCAAGCUGAGAACCACAUUGUAUCUGAGGUUCCACGAGAGGUGCAUUCUGUUGUUCCCAAGGAGAUACUUGUCUAGGUUACCAUUAAACAUGUAAUCAUAGACAAGAAGGAGUUCCCCUUGAUCAA